Molecule: long non-coding RNA, 2982 nt
Organism: Melozone crissalis (California towhee)
Lineage: Eukaryota; Metazoa; Chordata; Aves; Passeriformes; Passerellidae
Exons: 4
Source: RefSeq, a predicted model, not a curated record
CAAGACUCAGAAGAUCACUGUGGAACAAAGGCACUGGGCCAGCCCAUUCUGUUGAUAUGACACAAAGUCCAGCCCAGUUUGGCAUUCUUUCCACCCUGAUGGAGUCUCACAUCAGGAGAACAGUAGAUUAGACUUCUACCGACUCUGAGAGACGGGGAGUGGAGCCAGCAGCAAUAUUUAGCAGAGUGACUGAUUUCUGGCACCAUCUAGCUUCUCUGCAACAGGAAUCUGGCAGCCUGGUCAGGCCAUCAAGAGGAGGAAAAGGACUGAAGACUGAAGAUGAGAUGCUCUACUUCACACAGUUGCCCUCUGGAAGGACUUGCAAAGGCAGUCACUUAAAUUAAGUACAGGUCAUCAGACAAGAUAUCUAAUCUAUUCCUAAGACAGGCAGCUCCAGCAGUCCAAAUCCCCAUGGCCUUUGCAGUGACACGAUGAACUACUUCCUCAUGUACCUCUGUCAAUUCACGUUAGAUUGCAGUUUUUUUAAAGCGAUAUUUCAUGUACAUCAUGGCCCUAUUGCUCAAAGCAAGGAAAGUGCUUUGGUUUAUUUAUGACCUACUAACCUUAAAUAAAAAAAAAAUACAUCCAAUCUGAAUGUUCACAUAAGCCUGCAGAUCUGAAAUUAAAUUUAAAAUAAAGCUGGCAUUUGUAACAGCUAGCUGAGCCCAAUAAGGGAUUUUAAAAAAAUGAAAGCCAGAUGAAAGAAGAUGAAAGCAUAUUUACCCUGCAUAACCUGCACACAUCAGGAAUCAGGGCUGGAAUCCAGAAAUACCUUUUUUACUUAGAAGUUUCAGCCCAUUUCACAGGCUAGGUGACCAAGGAAAUACUGAGGAUUUCCAUUAUGGGGGGUGGGGAGGCAUUAAUAACAACCUGCCAAAGUAAUUCCUUCCAAGAUGCAAUCCACCCAGCCACCAGCUCUACACAGCUCCUCUCCUUCCCCUGCACCCCAUCCCAAUUGCCAGAUAUCAACCAGGCAAGCCCUCAACUGAAAUAUGAAGUGACAGAUGGAAGCAGGGAAUAAGGGCAUAGGAAUGAGUACUGAAAGAAAUGGAUAACAGAAAACAAGCUUAUAAUAGGGUAGAUCUUAAAUAUGAGCAACCCUUAAUCAUAAAGUUAAUUCAUUUGGCUAGAACAAAGUUGAAUAGAUGCAUGUAAGACUGAGUUGGAGAGCCUUAUUCUCUCAUCACUCAUGCCAGUGUGCAGAGGUCUUCUCCUAACAUCCAUGGAAUUAAACCUUGGAAAUUUCAGUACAAAUAAAUGGAGAACUAAAAAUAAUCACAGCUAAAGGAUUGGCAGCAAAUAUCCUGUGCUGCUGCAUUGGGAAAGGAAGGUGGGCUGCCACAUUUAAUUAAAAUGCAUUUGAUUUAGCUAUAUUCAUAAUCAAAGUGGCCUUCAUAAACAAAACACGUCUAAGCCACCAUAAUAGUUGAUUCUGUUCUGGUCUAGUUCUCCAGUAGGCUAUAUUAAUGACUUUUUCUUUUAGCUGUAUUCGAUGGAAAAUACAGUUGAGUCAAAUAUUGCAAUAAAUACCUCUACACGCAGAGCAAUUCAUUGAAAGAAACAGUUAGGACCAAGUCCUUGUCAUAGUGUUGUUUGCAAAAUAGGCUGGGGCAGCACACUGAUCAACUCCAGUUCUUACGUGUGGGUUCCCUUAACACAGGUACAGACAAAACCCAAACAUUUAUAAAGCCUUAUAAAUAACAACGGAUGGGAGACACAGAGAGCAUCUUUAUCCACAGGAUAAGGUAAACAAACAAACAGCAAUUCACGUAAGUCAAUGAAUCAGUCACGGAAUUUCAGCACAGUUAAGACUGGACCUAGCAGAAAAGAAUUCUGACAAGCUGAGCUUCAAGAACACCUGCAUAAGAACUCUGCUCACAAAUGAAAAUAAGAAAGAAGUCUGGGAAACUGCCAGCUCCUUGCAGAAAGACUGAAACAUGAUCAGCAGAGAAGGGUGUUGGUGUCGGUAAGAGAAAAAUGAUUCAAGUUGCAUCAUCUGUAUAAUUAAAAUCACUGUGUGAAUUUUGAUUUUCCCCCCCUACUUUCAGAGAUUUGAGGACGCAGUCAAGUCAAUGGAGUUCUGUUGUAGUGGUUGCUUCAGUGAACAUUCAACGCUGUCGGUGAGUUUGGAAUUAAAGUGAAAACCAUCGACCGUUGAUUGUACCCUCCAGCUAACCAUCCUCCUCCUUACUUCAUGCUUUCAGGCCUUAACACCGAAGAUAGCAACCUAACCAUCUUAUGAUGUUUCUCCCUCACCCUGCCAAGCUUUACAAAAAAGGUCACAAUCAACAUUCAUUGCUGUCGGUGGGUUUAACUAUGUGGACAAGCUCACUGAACAAUGAAUGCAACUGUGGCCCCACAUUGUACAGUUGCUGUUAAGAGGAGCAGCAGCUCUGAAGGCAAUAGUGAGAAGCAAACACUUAUAAGCUACAGUUCUCUGGUCAGAAAAAUAGCUGGGGGUAUCCACUUUUUGCUUGCUUGGUUUUGAGUGUGUUUAACUUAGCUGACUAGGAAAAAAAACUUGCUGCCUUUUUCUGGAGUAUUGUUCUCACAGGGUUCAGUACCAUUGAAAAUGUGAAAAUUCUUAUUUAGUAUGUAUGCAGAAAAAAUGACAGGAUAGGAAGCUCUGUAUAUCCACUCCUAAGGAUUCUGAUAUAAGAGGAAAGAAUAUUUAAUUGCCAUUUAACUAGGCAAUGUUGAAGAGUUCAAAAGUUUAGUCUAUACUUAUGACAAUACAACUGGGAACAAAUGGGAUUUAACAGUUAUGAAUAAAAAUCUUACAUCAAAAAAUAUGAAUUAAUUUUACAUUAAACUGAUUUUAAAAACAAAAAUACUAUUGCAUUGGCUAUUUUUAGGGAUCUGAAAGAUGACAAAGAAAUGUAGAUCUAGAAAUAAUAAUGGAAAAGUGGUUAAAUUUUAAAGUUACUGUAAACGGAGUACCUAUGUCACGCUCUGAGUUUUGCAAUAAGAAAAUAAAGUGUA